UAUUUCAUGAAGGUUACCUUGUACUUCUGGCUACAAGUAUCCUUCUUGAUAAGC
This 54-nucleotide microRNA precursor is filed under the name Heligmosomoides polygyrus. RNAcentral describes it as "microRNA hpo-mir-10043d precursor". Lineage: Eukaryota; Metazoa; Nematoda; Chromadorea; Rhabditida; Heligmosomidae. The record is from miRBase by way of RNAcentral.